UUUAAUUACAGCUGACCUGAAGAGCAAUUGUUUCUCCAGAUCAGUGGCACAAAUAGAGCAGAAGAAGAAUGAGUUCAUCUGAUCUUAUGUGCUCAUACAGCCACACCUAGAAAAACUGGACAUCAUUUUCGAAAAAACCGCACACAGAAAGCAGUGACAACAUCAAUGCCAAAGUUAAAAAGCUCAACAAGGAAGGAAAUGAGAAAAGUGCAAACAACCACAGUCCCAACACCUCCCAAAGCAGCAAUGUAGAA
Molecule: long non-coding RNA, 254 nt
Organism: Octopus sinensis (East Asian common octopus)
Lineage: Eukaryota; Metazoa; Mollusca; Cephalopoda; Octopoda; Octopodidae
Exons: 2
Source: RefSeq, a predicted model, not a curated record